Molecule: long non-coding RNA, 456 nt
Organism: Oncorhynchus tshawytscha (Chinook salmon)
Lineage: Eukaryota; Metazoa; Chordata; Actinopteri; Salmoniformes; Salmonidae
Source: Ensembl
GGAAACUAAAAAGAUAUGGGUCCUGAGAUCCUCGAAAGGUUCUACAGCUGCAACACCAAGAGCAUCCUGAACGGUUGCAUCACUGCUUGGUACGAUGAAAUGCCGUCCGUACCGUAUCUACUAGCACACAGCAGUUGAAAGAGACUAUCCAGGAUGACUGACAGAAUUAUUCCUCGUCUUAACGGUGGAUAUUCACCUUCAUCUGCAUCUUAUCCAUAUUAUAACCCUCAAUGUAUUGUUUUUAUGUUUGGCAUGGUUCAAUAAAUUAUAUUGAUAACUCAUAGGCUACCUUUUCAAGCUGAACUACAGUAAACAGAUGGACCGCCUGGGAGUAGGCCUCAGUGAGAGAACAGCAGGCUGAAGGGAGGCAACGGGCCGAGACAAAGAGAGGGCUCCUGCCUCCUGCACUGAGGGCCAGAGGCAGCUGAGCUGAGAGGAUGGGAGGAGAGAGAGAGG